This 500-nucleotide long non-coding RNA is filed under the name Cicer arietinum (chickpea). RNAcentral describes it as "long non-coding RNA (CARI_LNC001652)". The record is from RNAcentral. Lineage: Eukaryota; Viridiplantae; Streptophyta; Magnoliopsida; Fabales; Fabaceae.
CCACCCCCUCUUGAUAAAACACUCCUCCACAUUAUGAGUGAGACUAUAGUAAGUGAUAUGAAGGAAGAAGAGAUGAAAGGCAAGGAAACAGAGACAUGGCACAAACCAAAGAAUGGAAGUGUGUUUCCUCCCAAGAGACGUUCUGUUAAGAAGAUGAUAUGGGAUCAUUUCAAGCUAGCUCCUUUUUCUUCUUCUAACACGGUUUCAUCACCUUCUCACUCUAACACGGUUCACCCUCAUAAAUCAUAUAUAUAACCAAACAUACUACUUCUAAAUACUCCCAUUUUCUUUAUGUUGUUUAUUAAAUGUAAUCGAGGUUAUAUCAUAUAUUAUUAAUAAUCCCCCACUUCUUCAUGGGGUUUGUGUUUGUUCUCAUCAAUCAAUGUGUGCUUUCAGCUUGUGAAAUAAACAAACGAUCAAAAUCAAGUCAAAUUCAGUACUUACAAGGUUUUUCAAUUGCAAUUAGAGGAAAAUUAUGCUAUUUUUUCUCUAAAACUUUC